This is an RNA transcript of Rosa rugosa (rugosa rose), 3738 nucleotides long. RefSeq lists it as uncharacterized. NCBI's taxonomy places the organism in Eukaryota, Viridiplantae, Streptophyta, Magnoliopsida, Rosales, Rosaceae. The transcript is spliced from 5 exons. The record is from RefSeq and is a predicted model, not a curated record.
UCUCCCACUAAAGUGCUAAACAACUUAUGUAGUCUUUAUUGAAAUCAAUACUCUCGAUCAAGGUUCAUUCCACCUUUCUUAUGCCACCUCUCGUUCAUCUUCUUCUUCUACUAUCUUUCUUCCGUUCCUAAUAUCCCUCUUUCUGUCCCUCUCUCUCUCUCUCUCCAAAUCUCCCCCAAAUUUUCGAUCUUUGGCCCUAAAACUUCGACCUAUAUAUCUUGAAUCAACCAUGGAUCUGGCCCCGAAAGAACUUCAAUUUCUCUAAAUCCCAUACAUUCUCCGAGAAUCGACCUCUCCCCCUAAACAGUCCCCCAAGACCUUCUACCUCAUAACCCUAACCCCCAAUCCUAGCCCAUUCUCUCUGAAGGUAGUGUUCAGUUGGAGGUUUUUCCCUGGAGGUUUAGCAAUGGCGUAUUCGAUAUCAUCAAUCUGCAAUCUAUGGUUUCUCGACACACUCACUCACUCUCUCUCUCUCUCUCGUGAAACCUUUCUCUCAGUCUUCCAUCUGGUUCACUCCACUUUCUUCCCCGAUAUACCGACCCAAAUCCCCACAUCUCCUCCACCUGGGUUCACUCAUGUUUUACUUUACCGAUGGAUUCUGAUUCUCUGACCACCACAUCGCUCUAUCCAAUAGGGAAUGAAUCCCUUUUUUUUUUUUCCUUUCUAUUGAAGCUGAUCGAAUUCCAGGUAUCGAUUAGCAAUGGCGGUGAAGCACGGGCUCCACCGAAACAGAGCCGCCAGAUCUCAUUCCCUACUGCGGUAUUUAUAUUCGUUUUGUUGUUUGGUUGAUUUUCUUCGUCGGCCAUGGCCUCUACAGCUCCGUUGGGGGAAAAAUUACCUUACUUGCUUGCAAUUGCUCUCUUCUUUGCUUUAGAGAAGCAAAAAGAGUGAAAAUUGAACGUCCUCUUGUCAAGAUUAUCUGAAAAUCAGGAAUGCUACUUUUCUUUCUUUUCUUUUUUUUUUGGCUUUUUGAGCUGUGAGCAAUGCACAUUUAUUACAAACUUUGCAAGUGUGUUUUGUGUUUUAAGAUAGUGAGUAUAUGAGUGCACAUUGCAGUAUUAGGAUAGACAGUUUAGCUUUGUCUCGGUACUUAGAUGGUCAAGUUUUAAGCAGAUUUUGGUGAUUGACAACAAAUUGUGGUUGUAUCGACAACUAUAUAUAUAUAUAUAUAUAUAUAUAUGCCUCUGCUUCUAGCCCACAUUGAGGUCUUAUUAUGUUCUUGAUUAUGCAUACCGUGAAACUUUUUCUUGACAGCUUUCACUUUCACCAGAAGUAAGUGUAACUCGUAUUAUCUUGGUAAUGUAGUUUUUAGCAUGUCUUUUUCAUACCUACUAGUUUUUAGCAUUUGGAAGGUAUAGCUUUCUACUAAGAUAUCAUUUAAUUAAGUAUGUAGACUCUGUUUUGCAAUUUUUUUUAACAGAUGUUUUAACUAAAUCAACUCACAAUUUGAGCUUCUUGUUGGAUUUCAAUGCAAUGGUUCAGGGAAGGGCACACAAGGAGCGAUCUACUGAUCUAGGUUUGAUUGUCAAGUAUCCAUGUCUACAGAUAUAUUUAGAUUCCAGUAUGGUUAUUAGAGUUCCUACCAGUAAGGUUACUAGAGUUCUGAUUCAUGGGCGUGAAUUCUUAUUCUAUAUGUCUUUUAUUUCUUUGUUUUGGUAGCCUAGUGUAAUUAAAGACACAUUGAAUGGUUUAUAUGCUUCGUGAUUUAGUAUUGUGAUUUAUUCCUGGAUAUGAAAGAUUUGUUGAUUGAUAGUUUGGAUUUGUUAGACGUAAUGAUUUUCAAAUGGUCAUGCUAAAACAAAGUAGAACUGCAGGAUAUACAGUUGCCACUUUUAGUUUUCUCUUUCUUAUUGGGAUGAAUAAGUGACCAUGCCUGGUUGCUUUUGUCUCUGACUGCUUAUAAUUCCAAUCUGAAACAGCUAUGCAUGGGUUUUCUGCAGAAUGCAUGUUAGCUAAUCUUUGAUUUGUGGCUGAAGAUAUAAUAGGUUUGGAUGCACCAGCCCUUCAGUACCAGCCCUUCAAUUUUAUAUACACUAUUAAGAAAAUAUAUAAUAUAUCUUCUUCUGCUCACUUUGCUUCCUCUUUGCAGACUAGUUAAUUAGGUGAGACCUGCUCCUCAAAUCUCAAAGCACACUAUAGCUUAGAUUCAUACUGGCUUCCUUCCGAUCUACUUCAUGCCCUCCUUCCUCUAUUUCAUGCUGUUUUUCAUAGAGCUAGCUUAAAAUAAAGUGCUCUAUACUUUUCUAGUUUUGAAGUUCUAAAUAUUCAUAUACCUAAGCUAUAACAGCACUAGAGAUUUGAAGAUUGUACUUUGUUUCUUGAAAAGUCUUUAAUCUUAGAUCCUUUAUUUUGCUUAUUCUGGACCUGAAAAGGGUAAUCUGUCAGCUUUCUGCUAUAGAUAUUUUUGUUCAAUCAUACAAAGAAAGCUUGCUCUCCUCUCAAAUUUAGCUUAAUUGUUUUUUGUUCUUGCUACUUAGGCUUUUGUGGUUCUUCAUGGAGUUGAAAAACAUACUUGAAGAUCAAAUGGCUACUCCUUUGUGGUUCUUCAGAUUCCCACCACCAUUGAUUGUGGUUCUUGCUCCAUUGCUUAUAUUGGUGGGUUUGAUACUGGGCUUUGGUUUCUACUCCAUCUUCCUAACAUCUAUAACAUUGAUAUUCUCAACUCUUUUCUUCACAUGUUCCAAGCAAAAACCUGUUCUGCUUGAGAGAUUAGUUGAAGAAAAAGUUGUUCUUAAGUCUGAUAAUGAAAGUGCUUCUAUACAAGACAAGGAAGUUCAAGAAGCAAGUAAGAACAAUGAGGCUCCCAAAUACUUGGUAGCGGCACAAAGUUCAACACCAGAUUUGGUAGUAGAAAGUGCAUGCCUUGAUGACUUAUCAACUAGUGAGGAGUCUGAAGUACUAGACUGGCCAUUUGGAGACAAUGUGGAUCGGAGUCCAGAUUGCUCAGACGGUUCAAUCUCUGACGAGAAAAGCCUCAUCGAAAUAUCCCUCCCCGACGGAUAUUAUGUUGGCCAUGACAAGGAAGAAGAGUCCAUCUUUAGUCUGCAACAGAAAAUGUCAGGUUUGUCACAGAAGGCCAUUUUCCAACAGCAUACUUUAUUUGAGUUCUUAGCUGAGAUCAAUGAGGAAGAAAAUAUGAUUGAAAUUGACAUAUCCAUGGGCUCAAUCAAGUGCUCAAGGUUUGAGAUUGAAGCUUGAUUAAAGAGUUCAAGGGUGAUGCUGAUGGGUAUGAUUUAGUUGUUGUUGAUGCCAUGCAUAAAGCAACCUGUGCAAGUAGAAUUUGUCACUCGUGCCGACCUAAUUGUGAAGCAAAAGUUACUGCUGUAGAUGAUCGUUACCAGAUUGGAAUCUACACUGUACGUAAGAUUCAAUACGGUGAAGAGAUCACAUUGGACUACAACUCUAUUAAGGAGAGUAAGGAAGAAUAUGAAGCAUCAGAUUGUUUGUGCGGCAGUCAAGUUUGCCGGGGAGGUUACCUGAAUUUGAUAGGCGAAGGAUCAUUCUUGGAGGAUCGAACAUAUGCUGCAUAUGCUGCACAAGAUGGAAAUUGGAUUGCUCGUAUUGCAACAUUGCUUGUGGGUGAGGAUCGAACACAGUCUUGUAUAGCUUAUGAAAUUGGAAGGCUUCGUUCAAUGAAAUGUUUAAAUGCUUAUAAAAUUGUAUAUAGUGAAUCGAUUGGAGUUUGAUUUUAUGUAUCUAAGUUACUUUUAGCAUUAAUAUAAAAUUAUUGUUCAUUGG